UCUUUCUUUGCUGGCGACCGGCGCACGGGUGAGUAACACGUAUCCAACCUGCCCUUUACUCGGGGAUAGCCUUUCGAAAGAAAGAUUAAUACCCGAUAGCAUAAUGAUUCCGCAUGGUUUCAUUAUUAAAGGAUUCCGGUAAAGGAUGGGGAUGCGUUCCAUUAGGUUGUUGGUGAGGUAACGGCCCACCGAGCCUUCGAUGGAUAGGGGUUCUGAGAGGAAGGUCCCCCACAUUGGAACUGAGACACGGUCCAA
This 255-nucleotide ribosomal RNA is filed under the name uncultured bacterium. Its description in RNAcentral is "partial 16S ribosomal RNA". It matches the Rfam family "Bacterial small subunit ribosomal RNA", at positions 78 to 334 of the family's 1533-position model. The record is from RNAcentral.